This is a long non-coding RNA of Bombus terrestris (buff-tailed bumblebee), 1076 nucleotides long. RefSeq lists it as uncharacterized. The transcript is spliced from 2 exons. NCBI's taxonomy places the organism in Eukaryota, Metazoa, Arthropoda, Insecta, Hymenoptera, Apidae. The record is from RefSeq and is a predicted model, not a curated record.
CUGUCCAGGGAUGAUCCCGGCUGUGUCUAUUUAUACGGGCCAGGGGACCAGCGCAGCUACCUGUUGGCUGGCUGUGCAUAGUGGGUAGCAGGGCGCGUUCUCUGUACUUCUCUGUAUUGUACGAUGCUAUACAGUAUACUACGGACGAUAGGCAGGCUAGCUGGGCGCAACAGGGAAUGCCUGUAUAGCUGCGCGCGUAUACAGUAUACACAUAUACAGUAUACACACAUAGCAAGCGAAAGCGGAUCGACGACGGGUAAAGCUAAAACUGGGUCAGCGGCUGGAGGAAAGUAGGUCGACUCAGAACGCCAUGAUAAAGCUUGCUCGCCGGUAGACGCGCGCGGUGUUCUCUUAUGGGGGUGCGUCUUACUCAUUGAAAAUCCGUUGCACUUGCGCACACGUCGAUCUCGGUUGAUCGACGGCUUAUUUUAUGUUGAAGAGAGUAUUAUGAGAAGCUUCGGUGAAAUGAUGGAAAGAAAUUUUGAAUAAAUUAUCGGUUAUUCGAAACACAUUGGAAAAUGAAUUUGUAGUGUGUGCUUAGAAUUAAUGGAGUGCUCGAAAUGACAAAUUUGUAAUUUUCUAUAAAAAGACUUUAUACUAGAGACAAAUCUUUCCACGGAACACAAUUCGCAAACUUUUUACCAACUGAUUUCUGCCCUGGGGUGACAUUUUCCCGUAUGAGAUUCCACUCUCCGUUAUUAAACAAGAGUCUUUGGCAUGGAACGUCACAGGAAACAGCUACAAUUUAAUAUGCUUCUCGUGAUUUAUUCGUCAAACACUGAUCAUACGUUUAAAAGUUAUACUAAGCUUUCACUACGAGAGCUUUGAGGGUUAAAAGACGUUAAAGCACAGUCUUUAUGAAAUAUAAAUUAUAUUUUUAAGUGUGUUUGAAGCACGCCUCGUAUAAACCAGAAGUUCCAUAUAUUCUAACCUAAUUUAACAAUUCAUUUCAAUAAUUUGCGGGUCAAAGAUUCAGUUCAAAGAAACCUAUUAACCCAUUUGCUUAAAAUCUGGAUAAAGGAAUUAACAUAAAUUGUGAAAUCAAUUUACAAUAUACCUAAUUUACAACUACCUAA